Molecule: non-coding RNA, 517 nt
Organism: Stegostoma tigrinum
Lineage: Eukaryota; Metazoa; Chordata; Chondrichthyes; Orectolobiformes; Stegostomatidae
Source: the annotation of a RefSeq genome assembly
AAAUAUUAAGACAAAGUUCCAUCUUUUUUGUUUUUAGUUUGGUCAGAUGAAAACUGAUGUCAUGGGUACCCUGAGAACAUUACUGAUAAUCGUUACUAUUCUGCAUGGAACGAGUAGUCAAGAUUCAGUUUUUCAGAGCCCACCUCAUUUAUCGGCAGAGGAAGGACAAAUGGUAAUGUUGAACUGUAGUUACGAAUCGUCGGGUGCUCCUAUUCUCUUCUGGUACGUCCAGUAUCCUGGGGAAGCUCCGAGAUAUUUACUGAAGAGGUACAAGAAUGAAGACGCGGACAGCUCACCAGAUUUCCAUGACCGGUUUUCUGCCAAUUUGGACAAAGUCAAUAAAGUGGUUCCUUUGAGAAUUAAUGAAAUCCGUCUGUCUGACUCAGCCAUCUAUCACUGUGCUAUGAGUAACACACUGAUACAGAGACCCAGACAGCCCGAACAAAAACCUGAAAGGCUCUCUUCCCUCCCUUGUCUGUAUCAGAUCUAUAACUUUUACUACGAAUUGUUAAUAUGA